CCUACGGGGGCAGCAGUAAGGAAUAUUGGACAAUGGUCGCAAGACUGAUCCAGCCAUGCCGCGUGCAGGAUGACAGCCCUAUGGGUCGUAAACUGCUUUUGUGCGAGAAAAAACCCCUCUACGUGUAGAGGGCUGAUUGUAUCGUAAGAAUAAGGAUCGGCUAACUCCGUGCCAGCAGCCGCGGUAAUACGGAGGAUCCAAGCGUUAUCCGGAUUCAUUGGGUUUAAAGGGUGCGUAGGCGGAAUGAUAAGUCAGUGGUGAAAGCCUGCAGCUUAACUGCAGAACUGCCAUUGAUACUGUCAAUCUUGAGUACAUUUGAUGUGGGCGGAAUGUGUCAUGUAGCGGUGAAAUGCUUAGAUAUGACACAGAACACCGAUUGCGAAGGCAGCUCACAAAACUGUAACUGACGCUGAGGCACGAAAGCGUGGGUAUCAAACAGGAUUAGAUACCCUGGUAGUCCACGCUGUAAACUAUGAUUACUCGAUGUUUGCGAUACACUGUAAGCGUCUAAGCGAAAGCGAUAAGUAAUCCACCCUGGGGAGUUACGGCGCGCGAGAGAGAACGUUACGAAGAGAGUUAGUUACGGGCGUGGAGACGUUAGACCGACGGACGACACCGGAACCGGGAAGGUAAGG
RNAcentral lists this ribosomal RNA (635 nucleotides) under uncultured bacterium. Its description in RNAcentral is "bacterial SSU rRNA". The stretch from base 1 to 534 matches the Rfam family "Bacterial small subunit ribosomal RNA", at positions 338 to 873 of the family's 1533-position model. The record is from RNAcentral.